RNAcentral lists this non-coding RNA (26 nucleotides) under Homo sapiens (human). The record is from RNAcentral. Lineage: Eukaryota; Metazoa; Chordata; Mammalia; Primates; Hominidae.
UGAUGUUGGGUGACCGUGCUCUGGGC